This 521-nucleotide ribosomal RNA is filed under the name uncultured fungus. RNAcentral's name for it is "eukaryotic LSU rRNA". The stretch from base 159 to 312 matches the Rfam family "5.8S ribosomal RNA". The record is from RNAcentral. Lineage: Eukaryota; Fungi.
AGGGAUCAUUACUGAGUGAGGGUUUCGGCCCGACCUCCAACCCCUAUGUAUUCCGACUCUGUUGCCUCGGGGGCGACCCUGCCUUCGGGUGUUGGGGCCCCCGGUGGACACCAUAACUCUGCAUCUUUGCGUCUGAGUAACAUUUUGAAUUAAAUCAAAACUUUCAACAACGGAUCUCUUGGUUCUGGCAUCGAUGAAGAACGCAGCGAAAUGCGAUAAGUAAUGUGAAUUGCAGAAUUCAGCGAAUCAUCGAAUCUUUGAACGCACAUUGCGCCCUUUGGUAUUCCGAAGGGCAUGCCUGUUCGAGCGUCAUUAGACCAAUCAAGCUAUGCUUGGCCUUGGGCUGUCGCCCCCUCUCCGGAGGUGGGCGUGCCCCAAAUGACCCCCGGCGGAGUCGAUCCGGCCCUGGGCGUAGUAGAAAUUAUCACGUCGAGAGGGUCCGGUUGGCUUUUGCCGUCGAAACACCAACUCUUUUUUCAAAGGUUGACCUCGGAUCAGGUAGGGAUACCCGCUGAACUUAA